GGAGUUGUGGCUCAAUGGUAGAGCAUUUGCCUAGCAUAUAUGAGGCUCUGGGUUCAAUUCUCAGCACCA
Molecule: transfer RNA, 69 nt
Filed under: Ictidomys tridecemlineatus (thirteen-lined ground squirrel)
Lineage: Eukaryota; Metazoa; Chordata; Mammalia; Rodentia; Sciuridae
Description: Spermophilus tridecemlineatus (thirteen-lined ground squirrel) tRNA
Rfam family: tRNA
About the family: Transfer RNA (tRNA) molecules are approximately 80 nucleotides in length. Their secondary structure includes four short double-helical elements and three loops (D, anti-codon, and T loops).
Source: Rfam by way of RNAcentral